CCUACGGGAGGCAGCAGUGGGGAAUAUUGGGCAAUGGGCGCAAGCCUGACCCAGCAACGCCGCGUGAAGGAAGAAGGCUUUCGGGUUGUAAACUUCUUUUGUCAGGGAAGAGUAGAAGACGGUACCUGACGAAUAAGCCACGGCUAACUAUGUGCCAGCAGCCGCGGUAAUACGUAGGUGGCAAGAGUUGUCCGGAUUUACUGGGUGUAAAGGGCGUGUAGCCGGGUUGACAAGUCAGAUGUGAAAUCCUGCGGCUUAACCACAGAACUGCAUUUGAAACUGUUGAUCUUGAGUACUGGAGAGGCAGACGGAAUGCCUGGUGUAGCGGUGAAAUGCGUAGAUAUUAGGCGGAACACCGGUGGCGAAGGCGGUCUGCUGGACAGCGACUGACGGUGAGGCGCGAAAGCGUGGGGAGCAAACAGGAUUAGAUACCCGAGUAGUC
Molecule: ribosomal RNA, 442 nt
Filed under: uncultured bacterium
Lineage: Bacteria
Description: partial 16S ribosomal RNA
Rfam family: Bacterial small subunit ribosomal RNA
Source: RNAcentral